GUCUACGGCAUGCUACCCUGAACAAGCCCGAUCCUGUCUGAUCUCAGAAGCUAAACAGGGUCCGGCUUGGUUAGUACUUGGAUGAGAGACCACCUAGGAAGACCAGGUGCUGUAGGUG
Molecule: ribosomal RNA, 118 nt
Filed under: Pteropus alecto (black flying fox)
Lineage: Eukaryota; Metazoa; Chordata; Mammalia; Chiroptera; Pteropodidae
Source: RNAcentral